RNAcentral lists this long non-coding RNA (217 nucleotides) under Eucalyptus grandis. RNAcentral's name for it is "long non-coding RNA (EGRA_LNC000366)". The record is from RNAcentral. Lineage: Eukaryota; Viridiplantae; Streptophyta; Magnoliopsida; Myrtales; Myrtaceae.
GCCCCCGUUUCCGUUGUCGAGGAGACACGCCAGAAAAUCGCGAGCUUGGAAGCUUCCUCCUGAGAGACUUCGGAGGAGGUUGAAGAGCGAGCGAGAGGAAGGCGAGUGAGAGAGAACUCGGGUCGCGAGUUCGGCUGACCUCCCACUGAGAGACUUCGGGGGAGGUUGCCGGCGAGCGAGUCCGAGGCGGUCAGAUCCGGCCGGUGGAGGCUCGGAU